Ictidomys tridecemlineatus (thirteen-lined ground squirrel) is the source of this 238-nucleotide non-coding RNA. The record is from RefSeq and is a predicted model, not a curated record. Lineage: Eukaryota; Metazoa; Chordata; Mammalia; Rodentia; Sciuridae.
CCCCCCCCCUCUGUCUCAUGGUACAGAGUGGUGGAUAAACUCUAGGAGGAGGGGAAACAGAGGAAACCCCCCAGGGAGUGACAGGAGGAGAGGACUUGGCAUAGCUGAGCCAGGGAAGACGAUUCCAAGACUUGUGAGUCUGAGAAACACAGCAUUCUGGCCUCUUUCAGCUUCUGAGCUUUGACGCCUACAUAGCACACUCCACACACGCUCCCCGGAACUCUCCCGAACGCCACGC